Molecule: ribosomal RNA, 253 nt
Filed under: uncultured bacterium
Lineage: Bacteria
Description: partial 16S ribosomal RNA
Rfam family: Bacterial small subunit ribosomal RNA
Source: RNAcentral
UACGUAGGGUGCAAGCGUUGUCCGGAAUUAUUGGGCGUAAAGAGCUCGUAGGCGGCUUGUCGCGUCGUCUGUGAAAUCCCGUGGCUCAACUGCGGGCUGGCAGUCGGUACGGGCAGACUAGAGUGCGGUAGGGGAGAUUGGAAUUCCUGGUGUAGCGGUGGAAUGCGCAGAUAUCAGGAGGAACACCGGUGGCGAAGGCGGGUCUCUGGGCCGAUACUGACGCUGAGGAGCGAAAGCGUGGGGAGCGAACAGG